GACGAACGCUGGCGGCGUGCUUAACACAUGCAAGUCGAACGGAAAGGCCCUGCUUUUGUGGGGUGCUCGAGUGGCGAACGGGUGAGUAACACGUGAGUAACCUGCCCUUGACUUUGGGAUAACUUCAGGAAACUGGGGCUAAUACCGGAUAGGAGCUCCUGCUGCAUGGUGGGGGUUGGAAAGUUUCGGCGGUUGGGGAUGGACUCGCGGCUUAUCAGCUUGUUGGUGGGGUAGUGGCUUACCAAGGCUUUGACGGGUAGCCGGCCUGAGAGGGUGACCGGCCACAUUGGGACUGAGAUACGGCCCAGACUCCUACGGGAGGCAGCAGUGGGGAAUAUUGCACAAUGGGCGGAAGCCUGAUGCAGCAACGCCGCGUGCGGGAUGACGGCCUUCGGGUUGUAAACCGCUUUCGCCUGUGACGAAGCGUGAGUGACGGUAAUGGGUAAAGAAGCACCGGCUAACUACGUGCCAGCAGCCGCGGUGAUACGUAGGGUGCGAGCGUUGUCCGGAUUUAUUGGGCGUAAAGGGCUCGUAGGUGGUUGAUCGCGUCGGAAGUGUAAUCUUGGGGCUUAACCCUGAGCGUGCUUUCGAUACGGGUUGACUUGAGGAAGGUAGGGGAGAAUGGAAUUCCUGGUGGAGCGGUGGAAUGCGCAGAUAUCAGGAGGAACACCAGUGGCGAAGGCGGUUCUCUGGGCCUUUCCUGACGCUGAGGAGCGAGAGCGUGGGGAGCGAACAGGCUUAGAUACCCUGGUAGUCCACGCUGUAAGCGGUGGGUACUAGGUGUGGGGUCCAUUCCACGGGUUCCGUGCCGUAGCUAACGCUUUAAGUACCCCGCCUGGGGAGUACGGCCGCAAGGCUAAAACUCAAAGGAAUUGACGGGGCCCCGCACAAGCGGCGGAGCAUGCGGAUUAAUUCGAUGCAACGCGUAGAACCUUACCUGGGUUUGACAUGGAUCGGGAGUGCUCAGAGAUGGGUGUGCCUCUUUUGGGGUCGGUUCACAGGUGGUGCAUGCCUGUCGUCAGCUCGUGUCGUGAGAUGUUGGGUUAAGUCCCGCAACGAGCGCAACCCUUGUUCACUGUUGCCAGCACGUUAUGGUGGGGACUCAGUGGAGACCGCCGGGGUCAACUCGGAGGAAGGUGGGGAUGACGUCAAGUCCUCAUGCCCCUUAUGUCCAGGGCUUCACGCAUGCUACAAUGGCUGGUACAGAGAGUGGCGAGCCUGUGAGGGUGAGCGAAUCUCGGAAAGCCGGUCUCAGUUCGGAUUGGGGUCUGCAACUCGACCUCAUGAAGUCGGAGUCGCUAGUAAUCGCAGAUCAGCAACGCUGCGGUGAAUACGUUCCCGGGGCU
This 1346-nucleotide ribosomal RNA is filed under the name uncultured bacterium. RNAcentral describes it as "bacterial SSU rRNA". It matches the Rfam family "Bacterial small subunit ribosomal RNA", at positions 28 to 1381 of the family's 1533-position model. The record is from RNAcentral.